RNA transcript from Musa acuminata AAA Group (dessert banana), 7920 nucleotides. It is a transcript of the gene named lysine-specific demethylase JMJ17, with no coding region annotated. The transcript has 35 exons. The record is from RefSeq and is a predicted model, not a curated record. NCBI's taxonomy places the organism in Eukaryota, Viridiplantae, Streptophyta, Magnoliopsida, Zingiberales, Musaceae.
ACCCCUCUCUCUCUCUCUCUCCCUCCGACCUCGCAACCCUACGCGAUCUCCUGAUGGGCAAAGGUCGACCGCGCGCCGUCGAGAAGGGCGUCCUAGGCCACGCCCUGGGCAGCGCCGCCUCCUCAUCCUCCUCCGCCACCGUCGUCCCUCAGGCACCCGUCUUCUACCCCACCGAGGAGGAAUUCGCGGACCCGUUGGCUUUCAUCUUCAAGAUUCGCCCUCUGGCCGAGCCCUUUGGCAUUUGCCGAAUAGUCCCUCCCCGGUCCUGGAACCCCCCCUUCGCCCUCGACCGCGCCGCGUUCACCUUCCCCACCAAGUCCCAGGCCAUCCACCGCCUCCAGGCCCGACCGCCCUCCUGCGACCCCGCCACCUUCCGCCUCGAGUACGGCCGCUUCCUCGAAUCCCACCUGGGCAAGCGAUCCCUCCCGCGGCGGGUCGUCUUCGAGGGCGAUGACCUUGAUCUCUGCCGCCUCUUUAACGCCGUCAAGCGCUACGGCGGCUACGACAUGGUUUGUGCGGAGAAGCGCUGGGCCGACGUUGCCCGCUUCGUCCGACCGGCCAUCAAGAUCUCCGAGUGCGCCAAACACGUCCUCUGCCAGCUCUACCGCGAGCAUCUGUACGACUACGAGGAGUACAACAGCCGAUUGGACCGGGGAACCAAGAAGGGCAAGAGCACCAGGCGGUGCCCAGAUCGGAAUACCUCUGCCCAGACCGAGAUCCCCAAUCGGAAGAGGAGAAGGAAGGGUUUAGGCUGCGAGAGAGCAAAGGAGGUGGUUGAAGAGGUGUUGGAUCAGAUCUGCGAGCAGUGCAAGAGCGGGUUGCAUGGGGAAGUCAUGCUCCUUUGUGAUCGAUGCGAUAAAGGCUGUCACUUGUACUGCUUGUCCCCGCCUCUGGAGAAAAUUCCAUCAGGGAACUGGUAUUGCUUGGAGUGCUUGAAUUCUGAUACGGAUUGCUUUGGUUUUGUGCCUGGGAAGCUGUACUCGGUGAAUGCAUUUAAGCGAAUGGAUGAUCGGAUGAGGAGGAAGUGGUUUGGGCAGACAAAUGCCAGUCGUGUGCAGAUAGAAAAGCGGUUUUGGGAGAUUGUGGAAGGCAGAUCAGGAGAAGUGGAGGUCAUGUAUGGAAGCGAUUUGGAUACAUCGUUGUAUGGAAGUGGAUUCCCUCGUGCAAAUGAUCCAAUUCCAUCAUCGAUAGAUCCAAAUGUCUGGAGACAAUAUGCUUCAAGUCCAUGGAACCUCAAUAACCUGCCAAAGUUGCCGGGGUCAAUGCUUCGUGCAGUCCGUGAGAAUAUUGCUGGUGUCAUGGUUCCUUGGCUCUAUGUGGGAAUGCUUUUUUCAUCCUUUUGUUGGCAUGUUGAGGAUCAUUGUUUUUACUCAAUUAACUACCUGCAUUGGGGAGAACCAAAGUGUUGGUAUGGUGUGCCAGGAUCUGAGGCUAAUGCUUUUGAGCAGGUUAUGCGAACGACUCUUCCAGAUCUAUUUGAGGCACAACCAGAUUUGCUUUUCCAGCUUGUCACAAUGCUUAAUCCCUCUAUUUUGCUGGAAAAGGGUGUUCCAGUUUAUAGUGUUCUGCAGGAGCCUGGAAACUUUGUCAUUACUUUUCCAAGGUCCUUUCAUGGUGGUUUCAAUUUUGGCUUAAAUUGUGCUGAAGCUGUCAAUUUUGCUCCUGCGGACUGGUUGCCUCAUGGUGGAGUUGGAGCAGACUUGUAUCGGUUGUAUCGAAAGGCUGCUGUUUUAUCUCAUGAAGAACUUCUUUGUGUAGCUGUUAAGAGCGACUGUGAUUCCAAAGCUUUGCCUUAUCUGAAGGAAGAAAUGCAGAUGGUAUUUGUUAGAGAAAAGAAGUAUAGGGAGCAGUUGUGGGUUAAUGGUAUUGUCAGAUCUUCUCCAAUGUGCCCAAAGAAACAUCCCAAUUAUGUGGGCUGUGAAGAGGAUCCUGCAUGCGUUAUAUGUCAACAGUAUCUUUAUCUUUCCGCCAUUACAUGCAGCUGCAGACCAUCUACUUUUGUCUGCCUUGAGCAUUGGAGGCAUCUUUGUGAAUGCAAACCCGAAAAGCAUCAUCUCCUUUACCGUCAUACUCUCGCGGAGCUUGGUGAUCUAUUGCAUAUGGUGUCUUCUGUAUCUGAAAUGACAAACAUGGUGGAGACCUUACAAAAUAGACUUUCUCAAGGCCCAGGGUGUAAUUUAUAUCCUAAUAGAUCAAGUGCCAUAACAAAGAAGGUGAAAGGUGGUGAUAUUUCCUAUUCACAACUUGCUGAAGAUUGGCUUUCACAUUCCUGCCACAUUUUGGAGAUUCCAUUUGAAAAUUCUGCUUAUCUUAGUGCUCUAAAGGAAGCUCAACAAUUUCUUUGGGCUGAUCAUGACAUGGAUCCUGUGCGUGAUAUGAAAAUUAAGCUAAUUGAAGCUCAAAGGUGGGCGCUUGAUAUAAAUAGCUGUGUGUCUAAAGUAGAGAGCUUCAUGCAUUGUCCACAGAAGUACAAUGAGAGAGUAUCAUUGGAUGAGUUAGAAAAAUUGCUGAAUUUUCGACCUUUACCAUGUUAUGAGGCUGGUUCCAGCAAAUUGAAGACAUUGGCAGAGGACGCUCAGAAUUUAGUCAUUGAAGUACAAUCUGCUCUUUCAUCUUACUUAAGUAUUGACAAAUUGGAAAUGUUGUACAACAGAACUACUGAAUUUCCUGCUAGUCUUCAGAUAACUGAAAGAUUAUCUUGUGAAAUUGCUUCUGCAAAGAAUUGGUUAAAUAAUGCUCAUUUGUGCCUGAUGGAGAAAAAGCCUGGUUCUAUCGACAUUGAUUUCUUUAACGAGCUAAAAUCAGAGAUGCAAGAGCUUCAUGUUAGCCUUCCAGAAGUGGAUUCAUUUUCAAACAUGUAUAAAGACGUUGAAUCAUGGAAAAUCAGAUGUGAAGAUAUCUUGAAAGGGCCGCUCAGAUUGAAGGAACUUGAAGAUUUCCUUAUAGUUGCAGACAAUCUGAUAGUCAGCAUUCCAGAGAUAGAUCUCCUAAGGAAAUACAGAUCUGAUGCUUGUUCCUGGGCUUGCCAUCUUCAAGAUGUUUUGCAAAAUCUUAAUGAGCGAAACGACUAUGGGAACAUUGUUAUAGAACUUUCUCACAUCUUGAAAGCUGGAGAGUUGUUGAGAGUGCAGGUUGACGAGUUGCCUCUUGUAAAAGCUGAACUAAAAAAGUCAAUAUGUAGAGAGAACGCUUUAAAGGCACUUGCUACUCCUAUGCCUUUGGGUUUCAUUCAGCAAGUGUUGAAUGAAGCUUCUCAGUUGGAAAUUGAGAAUGAACAAUUAUUUAUAGAUAUUUCUGAAGUUCUCAGAAGAGCUGUUUCUUGGGAAGAAAGAGCCAAAUCUGCUCUAGAACAUGUAGCACACAUCUCUGAUUUUCAGAACAUUAUAAGGGACUCAGAGGGGAUAUUAGUUGGUCUUCCCUCUCUUGCUAAUGUCCAGGAUGCAAUGUCAGUGGCUCAGUUAUGGAUAAGUAGGUCUCAGCCGUAUUUGGAACAAACUAUGAACAGGAAUCCAUCAGAUCAUUUGCUUAAACUUGAUGAGUUGAAGGAGUUGGUUUCCCAGUCUGAACUUUUAAAAGUCACUGUAGAUGCUUCGGAAAAGCUUCAGAGCAUUCUGAAGGAAGUUGAACGAUGGGUGCAAUAUGCUUAUUCUUUAUUGGAACAUGCAAAAUCCUUAUUUAAUAUACAUCAUGCAGAUCUCAUAGUUGGCCAUAACUUUUUGACAAAGAUCGUAGAACUACUCAGCAAAGUUGAUUCUGCUAUAGAAGACGGGCAGUCCUUGUGUUUUCAUUUUAAAGAGUUGCCUGAACUGCGAAAUGCAUCUUCAUCUUUGCAGUGGUGCUCGACAGCACUCUCUUUCUGCUACAAGGUUCCGCUACUAAAGGAGGUUGAAAGAUUGCUUGAAGAUGCAGAUUGUCUUCCCAUCAUUUUUGCAGAUAGUUAUCUCGCUGAAGUGUUGAUUGUGGGAGUCAAUUGUCUUAGGAAAGCACUUUCUAUACUUCCAGAACCUCAUAAUUUUAAAAGGUGCAAGUUGAAAGAUGUUGAAACAAUUUUAGAUGAAAUUCAGAAAUAUAUAGUUCCUUAUCCGUUGAUUGUUUCUCAGAUUCAAAGUGCCAUCCAGAAACAUAAAUCCUGGUUGAAGCAAGUUAAUGCUUGUUUUCAACUGCCUAGUGAACAGCUUUGGCCUUCUUUGUUGGAGCUUAAGGAACAUGGAGAAGCUGUUGCCUUUGAGUGUUCUGAGUUUUAUAGAGUAGCUUCUGAAGUAGGAAAGAUUGAGAAUUGGAUGUCUGAGUGCCAUGUUCUUUUGGACCCAGUAGUUGGUGAUCUUGAUUCCUUGUCAGCUGGGCUAGUGCAAAUCAAAGGUUCACUUGACAAGGCUUUGUGUGUCUAUCGUGGUUCCAAAGGACGAAGAGCCAGAGAAUUCUCUGUUUGCUGCCCCAAUUAUGCAGGGAAUGAAGAAGUAUAUACUUGUCUCGUAUGUGAUGAUCGGUUCCAUUACUCAUGUGUGGGACCACCACUUGCUAAUGCUGGGAUGACUAGUGAGUAUUCUUGUCCUUUUUGCCUGUGUGUGGAAAGUGGAUCUCUACCAAGAAAUGGAAACCAAACAUUGAUAUCUAGAGGAAACUGCCCGGAAAUUAAAUCAUUCUGCGAACUUUUAUAUGCUGCAAAGGAUUUCCAUGCAAGGUUCAAAGAAUUGAAUUUGGUAGAAGAAAUUGUUAAACAAGCACUGGAGUGCAAGUUUAAUUUAACUGAAAUAGUGCAUCAUACUACUUACCAUGGCAAUGACCUCAGCUCUAUCUCAGAGAGUUUUCUGAAUGCCUUGAAGGCAAUAGCAGUUGCUGGGAUAUAUGAUCAUGAAGAUUGCUGCAACCUUGAGUUGGCAUUGUCUAAAAAUUCAUGGAAAGUCAGAGUCAAAAAGCUUUUGAGGGGAUCAAAGAAGCCUGUCCUCCAACAAAUUCAGCGUCUUAUUAAAGAGGGUAUAGCUAUGGGCAUAGCAUCUGAAGAUCAUUUUAUGAGGGAAAUUGCAGAAGUUCGGCAGAUAAGCUUGCGAUGGGCAGAUGUUGCCAAAAAGGUUAUAUCAGAUUCAGGGGACCUUGCACUAAGCGAGGUCUAUAAGCUUAUAAGUGAAGGUGAAAAUUUACCUCUUAACUUGGAGAAGGAGUUGAAGUCUUUAAGAGCUCGAAGUUUACUUUAUUGCAUCUGUCGGAAGCCUUAUGAUCAGAGAGCAAUGAUUGCUUGUGACCAAUGUGAUGAAUGGUACCAUUUUGAUUGCAUUGACUUGCAUGAACCACCUCAAAAGACCUUCUAUUGUCCGGCAUGUCGGCCAUCUCUUGAGGAGUUUAUAUCUCUUCCACAAGCGAUGCGCAAUGAAGAGAGAUCAAGCAAUGUAGGUGGACCUGAUACACCCCCAGUCUGCCAGAGAGAAUCAAAACGGAGAGGUUCAAUAAGUUUUGGAUCUAAUUUGCAUCAGAAAUUGCAGGAUGCAGUUGAUUUACUGGAAGUUUUAAGAUUUAGUGACAUUGAUCAAUUAUGGAGAGAAAACAAAAGGCCUCUUCACAGAACAGCCAAAAGACGUAGUCUACACUGCCGGUGAGAUCUCAUCCGUGAGUAAGACAAUGCUAGAGAUGAAGCUGUCUUCUUAAUUUUCUUGUAAUCAGUUAUUCAAUAGUUCAUAAGCACUUAAUCCUUCCUCAUUCAUUCGUUUGGAGAUUUCCUUAAAAUUUUGCCUGUUGGAACUAUUUCUUCUGAGCUUAUUGUUUGAUUAUAUCUCAUUUUGCUCUCUCUAUGAAUCCUGAGCUUGUGAACUUGCAUCUUCAUUGGAAACCUUUUGCUGUGACCUUUGAUUAAUUUCUAACAUGUUAUAUGUGUAACUCUUCAGGGAAUUGCUUGUUCCCUGACUGAAGAACUUGCUUGUUCCCUGACACAUCAUGGGGUCACAGCUAUUUGCCAAAUUGUGUUUUGGUGCUAGUGUAGCUCAUACCCAACAUGUAAAGAUUGCCUGUUGUGACAAGGAUUUAAUACCAGUCCCAUACUAGUUUUGGUAAGCUACCUGACCGAUAUGGUACCAGAGUAUCAACCUGUACCAUUUGGUCUUAUUGGAUAAAAUAAUAAAAAAUAGUAGCGAAUGGUAUUAUACCAGUAAAUAAGGUAUAUACUAUAUACCAAUUGGUAAGGUUGAGAUUUGAAACCUUGGUUCCGUUCCACUCUUGUAACCAUUCAUGUUUAGUAGCUUAAUUUUGUUUUGGAAUGUUCUUACGCAACAUGAUAGAUAUCCCUGAUUGUGAUGCCUAAUUGUCACUUCUGAGUCUGUAACUGUCCAUGUAUGCCUCAGUCAGACUUGCUUUGGCUUCGUGAUAACUCUUGUAUCCUCAACAAGGCAGUUAUAUGCUAGUUGAUGGUGAUUGGCCAUGAUUAAAACUGUUUUAUUUGGUUUCAUUCUUAAACUUUGGCAUCCUAGCUGCUUUCAUAUCUUGCUGAUUCGUCUAUAAGGGCAAAGUGCUAACCACUCAAUAAAGUUGAUUUGUUAUGGUUUAGAGAAUAAUGUCAAUUUGUAUAUUUUUUUCUAUAUUAUCAGCAUGCUAAUAGCUUUACCAUGAAAUUUAGUAAUAUUUUAUAUUUUCUUAAUUGUUAUUUAGCAAAUUUAUGUAUUUUCUUGAGGCUCUUGCACAGUCCCUUAUCCUACCAUCUGCUUUGCAUUACGAUCAGCAGAAACAUAGACAAACUUUAUGAUUAUAUAUUUCUCAUUCUGAACGGUAACUUUAUAGCCAGGAAAGUCUUGUUCUCUUUAUUAUCUGAUCUAGCUAAUGUCUUUUGCUUUGUCAAGGAUGGAAGGUUUCAGUAUUUGAUGAGUUGGUGUUCCAGCUCUUGUAGUUGUUGAGAUGGUCACAAUAAAAGAUCUGAUUUUUCUUAGUUUGACUAGUGAUAUUGACCUAAUCAGAGCUUGAUGAUGGGAAAAUGUCCCUCUAGCUGACCCCAAACAGUUGGGAUUUUGUGGCCGCUUUUUGUUUCAAACUUCCUUUGUUCCAGUGAUCUAUGAUCAGACUGGUGUGUCUCAGACCAAAGUAAAACUUUAAUCAUCAACUUGGGGGUAACAAUUGCCAGACUCUUGCGCUUGUGAGUACUUGUUCUUGGCAAAUAUGCACUGAAUGCUUUAAAGAUGCGACCAAAAACACAGAUGGUCCACAGCUUGGCGAUGAUAGCCAUUAGCCUGUGCAUGAUCAUGAUCCCGUUGAAGUGGGCCUCGGCAUUUGCUACUGUUGCACAGGUCCAUAAAGUCAUGCUGUUGUUCUAUGAGAUGAAAAGGGUUCACAUGGAGACAUUCUUAAAGAACUGUUCAACAUCCAUGGUUGUAAGAAAGUGAUGGGGAUUAAUGGCAGUCUAUGAGGAGUCCUUUGUGUUGCGGUGCAAGUGGAAGGGUCGGGUCCACAUGAACCAGGCCAAGGGAGCACGGUGACAUCGGAUUGAUGUGAGCUGGUGGGGCCGGCCUGCUCUAUCUCUGGCCUGUGGAAUGUUGCAGGCCGCUAGUUGGUGCCUUUUGCUGCUGACAUUUCACAUGACCAUGUCUACUGGGAAGAUUGCGACUCCCAAGUACAUAUUUUUCCACAUGAUAUGUGAGAUGUCUUGGUUCCGUGGGAAAGCACUUGAACCAAAUGAAUUAUUUGGUUGAUACUAAUGUCCUAAAGUUUUUUUUUUUUUUUUCUUUUACUUUGAGCAUAGCCUUCUCUAGGGUAUUUACCUUGUAUGUUUUUGUGACCAUAUUAUUGUUGCUUGAUCCAGAGGCAAUGUGUCUCACAUUUAGCAUCCAAGUCUUUGUCUUGGAUGUAUGAGAUGUAUGUGUAUCUUACCCACUUUUCGAUACGAUUCAUAGAGUUUAAAAUCUUUCUCAAUAAAAAAUUAUUGGCAAUAGCUCCUUUGCUUCUUCA